RNAcentral lists this ribosomal RNA (472 nucleotides) under uncultured bacterium. RNAcentral's name for it is "partial 16S ribosomal RNA". It matches the Rfam family "Bacterial small subunit ribosomal RNA", at positions 28 to 507 of the family's 1533-position model. The record is from RNAcentral.
GACGAACGCUGGCGGCGUGCUUAACACAUGCAAGUCGAACGCUGAAGCUUGGUGCUUGCACUGGUUGGAUGAGUGGCGAACGGGUGAGUAAUACGUGAGUAACCUGCCCUUGACUCUGGGAUAAGCCUGGGAAACUGGGUCUAAUACUGGAUACGACAUGCCACUGCAUGGUGGUGUGUGGAAAGGGGUUUACUGGUUUUGGAUGGGCUCACGGCCUAUCAGCUUGUUGGUGGGGUAAUGGCCUACCAAGGCGACGACGGGUAGCCGGCCUGAGAGGGUGACCGGCCACACUGGGACUGAGACACGGCCCAGAAUCCUACGGGAGGCAGCAGUGGGGAAUAUUGCACAAUGGGCGGAAGCCUGAUGCAGAGACGCCGCGUGAGGGAUGACGGCCUUCGGGUUGUAAACCUCUUUCAGCAAGGAAGAAGCGAGAGUGACGGUACGUGCAGAAGAAGCGCCGGCUAACUACGUG